GAUGAACGCUGGCGGCGUGCCUAAUACAUGCCAGUCGAGCGAACAGACGAGGAGCUUGCUCCUCUGACGUUAGCGGCGGACGGGUGAGUAACACGUGGAUAACCUACCUAUAAGACUGGGAUAACUUCGGGAAACCGGAGCUAAUACCGGAUAAUAUAUUGAACCGCAUGGUUCAAUAGUGAAAGACGGUUUUGCUGUCACUUAUAGAUGGAUCCGCGCCGCAUUAGCUAGUUGGUAAGGUAACGGCUUACCAAGGCGACGAGGCGUAUCCGACCUGAGAGGGGGAUCGGCCACAUGGGAGCGGGGACGCGGACCAGACGACUACGAGAGGCAGCAGUAGGGAAUCGGCCGCAAUGGGCGAAAGCCUGACGGAGCAACGCCGCGUGAGAGAUGAAGGUCUUCGGAGCGUAAAACUCUGUUAUUAGUGAAGAACAAAUGUGUAAGUAACUAUGCACUUCUUGACGGUACCUAAUCAGAAAGCCACGGCUAACUACGUG
RNAcentral lists this ribosomal RNA (497 nucleotides) under uncultured bacterium. Its description in RNAcentral is "partial 16S ribosomal RNA". It matches the Rfam family "Bacterial small subunit ribosomal RNA", at positions 28 to 507 of the family's 1533-position model. The record is from RNAcentral.